Long non-coding RNA from Mytilus californianus (California mussel), 577 nucleotides. RefSeq lists it as uncharacterized. The transcript has 3 exons. The record is from RefSeq and is a predicted model, not a curated record. NCBI's taxonomy places the organism in Eukaryota, Metazoa, Mollusca, Bivalvia, Mytilida, Mytilidae.
GCUUUCAAUGAUGACUGUCAUCUGUAUUAUUUUUUGUUUAGCUGUGGGUCUAUUUGCAAACAUGACAUUUGUUCACGCAAACUGCAGUCCUAAAUUAGGUAAUGAUCUACUUGAAGACUUGAUCGGUAUGGUGAAGAAAAUCAAAGGUUCAGGUUAUGAUGGCGAUACACCAGCGUUUUCAGCCUCACUUAGUAAAUCACAGACCUUGGGCUACAAUAGAAACGUUAUAUUUGAUCAAAUAUGGACUAAUGUGAGGAAUGGAUACAGCCCUCACACUGGGGUGUUUACUGUGCCCAUAGGUGGACUUUACCAUAUUUCAUGUACAGUUAUGACUGCUUCUGGGAAAACACUUCGCGUUCAUCUCUGGAAAAAUGAGCAGAAAACUGUAGGUCUGUACCCUAAUCUUGCCAACUUCAAUUCAGCUACUCUUAACAUGGUGUUAGAUCUUGAGAAAGGAGACCGACUGUAUAUCCGACAUGGUAAUUCUCGAUCAGAAGUUGUGUACAGUGAAUCAGGAACAAACUCCAGUAUGUUUUCUGGAUAUCUUAUUUCUAAAUAAAAUGAGUUGAUACCUGCA